RNAcentral lists this ribosomal RNA (320 nucleotides) under uncultured soil bacterium. RNAcentral's name for it is "bacterial SSU rRNA". It matches the Rfam family "Bacterial small subunit ribosomal RNA", at positions 26 to 375 of the family's 1533-position model. The record is from RNAcentral.
AGAACGAACGCUGGCGGCAUGCCUAAUACAUGCAAGUCGAACGAACUCUUCGGAGUUAGUGGCGCACGGGUGCGUAACGCGUGGGAAUCUGCCCCUUGGUUCGGAAUAACAGUUGGAAACGACUGCUAAUACCGGAUGAUGACGAAAGUCCAAAGAUUUAUCGCCAAGGGAUGAGCCCGCGUAGGAUUAGCUAGUUGGUGAGGUAAAGGCUCACCAAGGCAACGAUCCUUAGCUGGUCUGAGAGGAUGAUCAGCCACACUGGGACUGAGACACGGCCCAGACUCCUACGGGAGGCAGCAGUAGGGAAUAUUGACAAUGGG